AUCAACUUUCGAUGGUAGGAUAGAGGCCUACCAUGGUGGUAACGGGUAACGGGGUGUUAGGGCACGACACCGGAGAGGGAGCCUGAGAAACGGCUACCACAUCCAAGGAUGGCAGCAGGCGCGCAAAUUACCCAAUCCCGACACGGGGAGGUAGUGACAAUAAAUAACCAUACGGGGUUCUUUUGGAUUUCGUAAUUGGAAUGAGUACAAUUUAAAUCUCUUAACGAGGAACAAUUGGAGGGCAAGUCUGGUGCCAGCAGCCGCGGUAAUUCCAGCUCCAAUAGCGUAUAUUAAAGUUGCUGCAGUUAAAAAGCUCGUAGUUGAAUUUCGGGACCAUCAUGUCGGUCGUGCCUAGGUACGUACUGGCAUUGUUGGUUUCUCCCUUCUGACGAACCAUGAUGUCAUUUAUUUGGUGUUGUGGGGAAUCAGGACUGGUACUUUGAAAAAAUUAAAGUGGUUAAAGCAAGCUCACGCUUGAAUACAUUAACAUGGAAUAAUGAAAUAAGACGUUUGAUUCUAUUUUGUUGGUUUCUAGGAUCGACGUAAUGAUUAAUAAGGAUAGUUGGGGGCAUUAGUAUUCAAUUGGCAGAAGUGAAAUUCUUGGAUUUAUUGAAGACUAACUACUGCGAAAGCAUUUGCCAAGGAUGUUUUCAUUAAUCAAGAACGAAAGUUAGGGGAUCGAAGACGAUCAGAUACCGUCGUAAUCUUAACCAUAAACUAUGCCGACUAAGGAUCGGAUGAUGUUAAUUUUUUAAUGACUCAUUCCGCGCCUUACGGGAAACCAAAGUGUUUGGGUUC
RNAcentral lists this small RNA (798 nucleotides) under uncultured Glomus. Its description in RNAcentral is "SSU rRNA". It matches the Rfam family "Eukaryotic small subunit ribosomal RNA", at positions 314 to 1114 of the family's 1831-position model. Lineage: Eukaryota; Fungi; Glomeromycota; Glomeromycetes; Glomerales; Glomeraceae. The record is from RNAcentral.